GGGGGUUCAAUUUACCAUGGGGGUUAAAUUUUCCAUACAGGGGGGGGUUCAAUUUACCAUGGGGGUAUUUUGACCCUGGGGUCAUUUUACCAUGGGGUUCAAAAUACCAUAUGACACCGGCAUAAAGAUUUGAACUCCUUGAAGGCUAGGUCCCAACAUAUGUCAUGGUGAAUGUGAUUGAAAAUUCUUGUUGUAUUCUUGAAAGAGAUUUUGACACAAAGUUGGCUCGAUCUUACAUGAUAUGAUCCAAAACAUAACAGGUA
RNAcentral lists this long non-coding RNA (263 nucleotides) under Mytilus galloprovincialis (Mediterranean mussel). Lineage: Eukaryota; Metazoa; Mollusca; Bivalvia; Mytilida; Mytilidae. The record is from RNAcentral.